UACGUAGGGUGCAAGCGUUGUCCGGAAUUAUUGGGCGUAAAGAGCUCGUAGGCGGUGUGUCGCGUCUGCUGUGAAAACUCAGGGCUCAACUCUGAGCUUGCAGUGGGUACGGGCACACUUGAGUGCUGUAGGGGAGACUGGAAUUCCUGGUGUGAGCGGUGAAAUGCGCAGGAUAUCAGGAGGAACACCGGUGGCGAAGGCGGG
RNAcentral lists this ribosomal RNA (204 nucleotides) under uncultured bacterium. RNAcentral describes it as "partial 16S ribosomal RNA". It matches the Rfam family "Bacterial small subunit ribosomal RNA", at positions 524 to 725 of the family's 1533-position model. The record is from RNAcentral.